UACAAAGGGGGCUAGCGUUGCUCGGAAUCACUGGGCGUAAAGGGUGCGUAGGCGGGUCUUUAAGUCAGGGGUGAAAUCCUGGAGCUCAACUCCAGAACUGCCUUUGAUACUGAGGAUCUUGAGUUCGGGAGAGGUGAGUGGAACUGCGAGUGUAGAGGUGAAAUUCGUAGAUAUUCGCAAGAACACCAGUGGCGAAGGCGGCUCACUGGCCCGAUACUGACGCUGAGGCACGAAAGCGUGGGGAGCAAACAGG
RNAcentral lists this ribosomal RNA (253 nucleotides) under uncultured bacterium. RNAcentral's name for it is "partial 16S ribosomal RNA". It matches the Rfam family "Bacterial small subunit ribosomal RNA", at positions 524 to 776 of the family's 1533-position model. The record is from RNAcentral.